Molecule: ribosomal RNA, 540 nt
Filed under: uncultured bacterium
Lineage: Bacteria
Description: bacterial SSU rRNA
Rfam family: Bacterial small subunit ribosomal RNA
Source: RNAcentral
AGAGUUUGAUCCUGGCUCAGAACGAACGCUGGCGGCGUGCCUAACACAUGCAAGUCGAACGGAGAUAAGGGGCUUGCUCCUUAUUUUAGUGGCGCACGGGUGAGUAACGCGUGGAUAAUCUACCUUGGAAUCUGGGAUAACAUCUCGAAAGGGGUGCUAAUACCGGAUAAGACCACGAGCUCUUCGGAGUUUGCGGUAAAAGGGGGCCUCUGUAUAUGCUUCUGUUUCAAGAUGAGUCCGCGUACCAUUAGCUAGUUGGCAGGGUAAUGGCCUACCAAGGCGACGAUGGUUAGCUGGUCUGAGAGGAUGAUCAGCCACACUGGAACUGAGACACGGUCCAGACUCCUACGGGAGGCAGCAGUGGGGAAUUUUGCGCAAUGGGGGAAACCCUGACGCAGCAACGCCGCGUGAGUGAUGAAGGCCUUCGGGUCGUAAAGCUCUGUCAGAGGGAAAGAAGUGUAGGAGGGUUAAUACCCCUUUCACUUGACGGUACCCUCAAAGGAAGCACCGGCUAACUCCGUGCCAGCAGCCGCGGUAAUA